Molecule: ribosomal RNA, 497 nt
Filed under: uncultured bacterium
Lineage: Bacteria
Description: partial 16S ribosomal RNA
Rfam family: Bacterial small subunit ribosomal RNA
Source: RNAcentral
GAUGAACGCUGGCGGCGUGCCUAAUACAUGCAAGUCGAGCGAACAGACGAGGAGCUUGCUCCUCUGACGUUAGCGGCGGACGGGUGAGUAACACGUGGAUAACCUACCUAUAAGACUGGGAUAACUUCGGGAAACCGGAGCUAAUACCGGAUAAUAUAUUGAACCGCAUGGUUCAAUAGUGAAAGACGGUUUUGCUGUCACUUAUAGAUGGAUCCGCGCCGCAUUAGCUAGUUGGUAAGGUAACGGCUUACCAAGGCGACGAUGCGUAGCCGACCUGAGAGGGUGAACGGACACACGGGAACUGAGACACGGUCCAGACACCGACGGGAGGCAGCAGUAGGGAAGCUUGCGCAAUGGGCGAAAGCCUGACGGAGCAACGCCGCGUGAGUGAUGAAGGUCGUCGGAUCGUAAAACUCUGUUAUUAGGGAAGAACAAAUGUGUAAGUAACUAUGCACGUCUUGACGGUACCUAAUCAGAAAGCCACGGCUAACUACGUG